GAUGAACGCUGGCGGCGUGCCUAAUACAUGCAAGUCGAGCGAACGGACGAGAAGCUUGCUUCUCUGAUGUUAGCGGCGGACGGGUGAGUAACACGUGGAUAACCUACCUAUAAGACUGGGAUAACUUCGGGAAACCGUCGCUAAUACCGGAUAAUAUUUUGAACCGCAUGGUUCAAAAGUGAAAGACGGUCUUGCCGUCACUUAUAGAUGGAUCCGCGCUUCAUUAGCUAGUUGGUAAGGUAACGGCUUACCAAGGCAACGAUGCAUAGCCGACCUGAGAGGGUGAUCGGCAACACUGGAACGGAGACACGGUCCAGACUCCUACGGGAGGCAGCAGUAGGGAAUCUUCCGCAAUGGGCGAAAGCCUGACGGAGCAACGCCGCGGGAGUGAUGAAGGUCUUCGGAUCGUAAAACUCUGUGAUUAGGGAAGAACAUAUGGGUAAGUAAAUGUGCACAUCGUGACGGUACCUAAUCAGAAAGCCACGGCUAACUACGUG
RNAcentral lists this ribosomal RNA (497 nucleotides) under uncultured bacterium. Its description in RNAcentral is "partial 16S ribosomal RNA". It matches the Rfam family "Bacterial small subunit ribosomal RNA", at positions 28 to 507 of the family's 1533-position model. The record is from RNAcentral.